CAGUCGAACGGCAGCACGGGGGCAACCCUGGUGGCGAGUGGCGAACGGGUGAGUAAUGCAUCGGAACGUGCCCAGUCGUGGGGGAUAACGUAGCGAAAGCUACGCUAAUACCGCAUACGAUCUAUGGAUGAAAGCGGGGGACCUUCGGGCCUCGCGCGAUUGGAGCGGCCGAUGUCAGAUUAGGUAGUUGGUGGGGUAAAGGCCUACCAAGCCGACGAUCUGUAGCUGGUCUGAGAGGACGACCAGCCACACUGGGACUGAGACACGGCCCAGACUCCUACGGGAGGCAGCAGUGGGGAAUAUUGGACAAUGGGGGCAACCCUGAUCCAGCGACGCCGCGUGUGUGAAGAAGGCCUGCGGGUUGUAAAGCACUUUUAGUGGGGAUGAAAAGCUCGGGGCUAAUACCUCCGGGUCUUGACCUAACCCACAGAAAAAGCAC
This 439-nucleotide ribosomal RNA is filed under the name uncultured thermophilic aerobic biofilm eubacterium SCBP-A2. RNAcentral's name for it is "bacterial SSU rRNA". It matches the Rfam family "Bacterial small subunit ribosomal RNA", at positions 59 to 493 of the family's 1533-position model. The record is from RNAcentral.